Ailuropoda melanoleuca (giant panda) is the source of this 3523-nucleotide long non-coding RNA. RefSeq lists it as uncharacterized. The transcript has 3 exons. Lineage: Eukaryota; Metazoa; Chordata; Mammalia; Carnivora; Ursidae. The record is from RefSeq and is a predicted model, not a curated record.
UGCUGGUCCCCAAAGGUAUCUGGUUCUAAUCACUGGAAGUUGUGAAUGUUACCUUAUAUGGCAGAAGAGACUUUGCAGCUGUGAUUAAGGAACUUGAGGUGGGGACUCUGUCGGUUAAUUUUAUGUGCUGACUUCACCGGCCAUGGUGAGUCCAGAUUCAACGUGAUUUCCUGGUGUGUCUGCGAGAGUGUUUCCAGAUGAAUUCCAGAGAUUAGAAUUUGAACCCGUGGACUCAGUGGAGGUAGGCAUCCUCCAAUCCUUUGAGGGCCUAAAGAGAGCAAAAGGCUGAGGAAGGAGGAAUUUGCCCUUUCUUUUUUCCUGUCUCACUGUUGAGCUGGGACAUCUCCUGUCAUCUCCUUCUGUUCUCAGACUGGGAUUUGCAACAUCAGAGCCUCUAAUUCAUGGAUCUUCAACCUCAGACUGAAUCACACCAGCUUUCCUGGGUUUCCAGCUUGCAGACUGUGAGACUUCCUAACCUCCAGAAUCACAUGAGCCAAUUCCCCAUAAUCAUAUAUGUAUGUGGAUCUAUAUAUCUCCUAUUGGCUUUUCCAGAUAACCCUGACUAAUACGAAGUCAAGGAACAUUAUCCUGGAUCAUCUGAUGCUCCAUACAUGUAAUCACGAGUAUCUUUUAAGAGGAAGGUGGAGGCAGACUUGCGGAGAGAAAAGGAGAAAGAGAUGUAACCACAGAGCAGCGACUGGCAUCAUGAAGCUACCAACCAAGGAAUGCUGAUGGCCUCUAGCAGCUGGAAGAACAAGGAAUCCGAUUCUGCCCUUGGACCUCCAGAAGGGGCCAUCCCACCUGACUCUUUGAUUUCAGCCCUGUGAGCCUCAUUUUGGAAUCUAGUCUCCUAGAACUCCUUAAUAGGAGCCUAUUGACUGAGAGAAGUGGAAGUUACCAUUUGCUAAUGGACCAAUGAAGUGGACGCUGUGAUGAGUGGCCCAGAUCCUGUGAGUCAUGUCAUCCCUGACGCUGGAGGUACAGACAGCCCUCACCUGCCAGUGCUCUCCUGGAACUGACUUCCUAGGAGGCAUUUCCCCUCUCAAAGUUACAGCCCUCCCCAGGGCAGCCUGUAUGCACUGAUUGGUGGAUGCACCAACAGACAGUCCAGGCUGUACCACUGCAGUGUGGGAGCACCUGGGGGACUGUCCCAGUUCCAGGGCUCCCCCUUAGAGUUGGCUAAGACUGCACCACAGCCCAACUAGGGCAACCAAGGAUGAGCUUCUCAGAACUGCCUGCCUGAGGAAACCUGCCUCCAGGAUGCCAGCCACUGGCAGCCUCCAGGCACAUGUGUCUCCAGGAUCUGCUUUAGCUUUCUAGGUGGGGCUAUGUGCUUCCUGGGCAGAUGCUGGGCAGUGACUGAGCAUGUCAAUGUGCAAGGGCUUGCCGAUUCUGCAAAGCUAGGAUGCCUCUAUGCUUACCUCUGCUCUGGAGCUCCCCAUUGGGAAGACUGAGAUUUUCUCACUGCUGCUCUGAGUUCAGAGGCUCCAGCUCUCCAGUCCUCCUUCAUGACCUUUCUUCCUUCUCAGGGGACACAUCUGCACUGCUGCAGGCUCUCCCUGCUGCUUCUGCUCUCUCUCUCCCUUAUUCUUCUCAGGCUCUGUCUUCCUUUCAUCUCCUGCACAUCUCUCUCUGACUUGGUGGGUGUCCCUGGGAGAGGCUGAAGCGUCACACCACUGGGUCUCAUUCCCUGCUCCUGCUCCUUCUCUUCCCUUGCAUGGGACAGGGUUGAUGCCAACAGCACUCCCCAAUACCUUUAUGUGUUCACUUCUACCUCAGUGUCAGUGUCUAGGAAGACCAGCGUGCAACAGGUGGCAUCAGGAGGGUGACCAACUAGCCUGGUUUACCUGAGACUGAUGGGUAUCUCGGGAAAGGGAGUGAUCAGGCUUAAAACUGGGACAGUCCUGGGCUACUCUAGGUGCACGAGUGUCUGGAAAAGAGAGAGAGAAAUGGGAUUCUGGAGCAAUGAAGCCCCCAGUUGGGGGACUGGGGAUGGGAGUACCCAGAGCAAUACAGUUCAAAUUUUUACUGGAGACGAACAGAGAUGAUUUACCUGUAGGAGGAAAUGCAAAAGCAGAGCCUUGUGUCAGGCAUUUGAGAAAUAUAAAGAGAAGAGUACUUUUAAGGAAUGUGGGGAAAACCCUACUGCUUUCACUGCAGUGAGAGUGUUGCUAAGUGCAACUGAUAAUUUGCAAAAGUUAAAUGGGAGUAAAAAUCAUCAAGGACAAACUAAGAGUAAAAGCCAGAAAUCCUCCUUGGUUGAAAAAGACUCUUAUCUGCACAGAAAGAAGUCAGGGAAAGCUGAGGCCCAGAACUUAGUCCUAAGAGUAGCAGACCUCCAGAAAACAGUGACCUCUCUACUGGGCAGCUUUGCUAUGCCCCUGAAUGGAUAACUACAGAUCCGGAGUCACAAGGGGGGGUCAAUGUGGAUCCAAGCUCCCAAAAGUCUUGAAUCAAUAAUUUCCCUGAUACAUUCAAGCUGACAGAAGCGGACCCCUCUUAAUCAUUAGGGCCUAUCCUUACCUUCCCUUUGCUUGAAGAUGGGGUGGAAGUUUGAAUGUGAAUAUGAAUGUAAUACUCACCACCCCCAACACCCCAGGAUCCAUCCCUUGCUGCCAUGCAGGCCUGUGGGCCAAUAAGUAGGAUUAUGUCAUCACAAAACAUAGACAGGAGUGUGCAGGGCCUGCUGGGGGAUUAGGAGCUGCAGAACCAGCCAACACAUGGUAGGACCUGGAAGAGCAUGCAUGGAGCUGAAUUGUGAGGAUGCAAGGUCAAGGGGCAAAAGCUCAGACUGGAUGAGGGAAGUUUAUCUCCUAGAAGCACUCUCAACUGGCAAGGAUGUUGAGACAGUCUGCAGGCUCUCUGCUAGAACGACAACCCUUAGAAAGACCAAGAAAAUGAUGUCUUCAGAAACAUCUAGCAGGAGUGGCUCUACCAGUUCUGGUGGUCAGAGGUCUGAAAUCACCAACACUGGGCCGACAUCAAGCUGCCACACUCCCUCCAGAGGCUCUAAGAGUGGAUCCAAUCCUUACCUUUUCCAGUUGCUGCUGGUAGCCACUAUUCCUUGACCUGCGGCUCCAUUGCUCCAAUGUCUGCUUUCUCCUUCAUGUGGCCAUCUCCUGCAUGUGUGUGUGUAUGUGUGUGUGUGUGUGUGUGUGUGUGUGUGUGUAAUGUCCCUGUGUCUCUCUCAUAGGAACAUUUGUGAUGUAAUUUACGGCCCACCCAAAUGAUUUAGGAACUCUUCCCAUCUGAAGUUCCUUAAUUUAAUCAUAUCUGCAUAAGACCUCUCUCCAAAUGUGAUAACAAUUAUUACAUUACAAUAUUACAAGGACUUGUAAAUGAUUAUACCUAAUAUCUUUGGGGCCACCAUUCAGCUCUUGACUCCCCACAUACAACUUUGUGUUAAAAAAAAAUCAUAUAUCUCUUCAAGGUGGAACCAGAGUCGGAGAUUGUCCAGACAGCGCUCCCCUCUGACAAGGAGUCCUUGAAGCUGGACCCUCAGGGUGAGGCUCCAUUGAGCUCU